This 879-nucleotide long non-coding RNA is filed under the name Homo sapiens (human). Its description in RNAcentral is "HSALNT0116357". Lineage: Eukaryota; Metazoa; Chordata; Mammalia; Primates; Hominidae. The record is from RNAcentral.
AUGAGCCUCACUUACUCUCGAGCAAGCUGCAUGCUGCUUAGGCAAUGCUGUGAAGUGAGGAAAACACAGUUUCUGUCCUCAGAUGACUUGCUACAAACCCAUGGCCUUGCUCCAGCCUCAGAUGGGAGAUGUCGGCACAUGAGGUUGGAAACCAUCGCCAGCGUUGCCUGAGGCCCUGUCCCGACGCAUGCCCUGUGCUGAUGCCCUGUCCCGACACAUGCCCUGUCCCGACGCAUGCCCUGUUCCAUUUAAUGCAACAAUCAUCCCACUGGACUGGAGGUUGGCAACUAGGAAGCCUGGAUUCUUUACAUCAGCAACAGACUGGAUGGAGGCAGGAGGCAGUGCGGACCAGAGAGAGGAGUUGUUGCCCGCAGGGUGCCCUUUGAAGACUGCCUUUGCCACCAUCUGCAGCGCGUGGGGCAAGAUAUUAGAAUGGCAUCAGUGUUUGCUUUCACUAAGAGGAAGCGGAGUCCUGGGAGAAAGAGCCGCAGCCUGUGAUUGCACAGCCUUCCCUUGAUGGUACCUUUACCCUGGCAUGUGAGCUAUCAGCCGACUGGGGAUGCUUUCAAAUGAGACAGGAAACAGUUUAGGUGACAAUGAGAAACUCUGGUCUCAGUGGGAUGGAAAUAGAGCCUGGAAGAAAUGGGAAACUUUAAUAUCUGGAUGGAUUCCUUAAACAGCAUCCCCCUGAAGUAAAAGCUUGAAAAAUAAAGUCCACCUGGGUGGUGACUGUCAAGACAGGCCCUGCCCCGUGGGCACUGGCUGAGGAAUUUGGUGUAUUCCACACAUGCCGGAGUUUCCAAGGAGGAAACGUGUUUGAAGUCCAAAGAACAAGGACGGCCUCUGCUUGCUAAUCAGGGGUUCUCAGGUGCAUCUCCG